AGAGUUUGAUCCUGGCUCAGAACGAACGCUGGCGGCGUGGAUAAGACAUGCAAGUCGGACGGGACUUUUCGCUGUAGCAAUACAGUGGAAAGUUCAGUGGCGAACGGGUGCGUAACACGUGGGCAAUCUGCCUUAAAGUGUGGGAUAGCUCGGCGAAAGCCGAAUUAAUACCGCAUGUGGCUACUGGAGACAUCUUCGGGACGCUAAAGGUGGCGCAAGCUACCGCUUUUUGAGGAGCCCGCGGCCUAUCAGCUUGUUGGUGAGGUAACGGCUCACCAAGGCGUUGACGGGUAGCUGGUCUGAGAGGACGACCAGCCACACUGGGACUGAGACACGGCCCAGACACCUACGGGUGGCAGCAGUCGAGAAUUUUUGACAAUGGGGGAAACCCUGAUCGAGCGACGCCGCGUGGAGGAUGAAGGUCUUCGGGUUGUAAACUCCUGUCAUUUGGGAACAAGGCGUAUGUAUUAACUGUACGUGCGUUGAUAGUACCAGAAGAGGAAGAGACGGCUAACUCUGUGCCAGCAGCCGCGGUAAUACAGAGGUCUCAAGCGUUGUUCGGAUUCAUUGGGCGUAAAGGGUGUGUAGGUGGCGCGCUAAGUCGGGUGUGAAAUUUCGGAGCUUAACUCCGAAACUGCAUUCGAUACUGGCGUGCUUGAGGACUGGAGAGGAGACUGGAAUUUACGGUGUAGCAGUGAAAUGCGUAGAUAUCGUAAGGAAGACCAGUGGCGAAGGCGGGUCUCUGGACAGUUCCUGACACUGAGACACGAAGGCCAGGGGAGCAAACGGGAUUAGAUACCCCUGUAGUCC
RNAcentral lists this ribosomal RNA (810 nucleotides) under uncultured bacterium. RNAcentral describes it as "bacterial SSU rRNA". It matches the Rfam family "Bacterial small subunit ribosomal RNA", at positions 8 to 796 of the family's 1533-position model. The record is from RNAcentral.